Molecule: transfer RNA, 73 nt
Filed under: Chelonia mydas (Green sea turtle)
Lineage: Eukaryota; Metazoa; Chordata; Testudines; Cheloniidae
Rfam family: tRNA
About the family: Transfer RNA (tRNA) molecules are approximately 80 nucleotides in length. Their secondary structure includes four short double-helical elements and three loops (D, anti-codon, and T loops).
Source: Rfam by way of RNAcentral
GCCCAGCUAGCUCAGUUGGUAGAGCAUGAGGCUCUUAAUCUCAGGGUCGUGGGUUCAAGCCCCAUGUUGGGCA